CCUACGGGUGGCUGCAGUGAGGAAUAUUGGUCAAUGGACGAGAGUCUGAACCAGCCAAGUAGCGUGAAGGAUGACUGCCCUAUGGGUUGUAAACUUCUUUUAUAUGGGAAUAAAAUGUUCCACGUGUGGGAUUUUGUAUGUACCAUAUGAAUAAGGAUCGGCUAACUCCGUGCCAGCAGCCGCGGUAAUACGGAGGAUCCGAGCGUUAUCCGGAUUUAUUGGGUUUAAAGGGAGCGUAGGUGGAUUGUUAAGUCAGUUGUGAAAGUUUGCGGCUCAAGCGUAAAAUUGCAGUUGAGACUGGCAGUCUUGAGUGCAGUAGAGGUGGGCGGAAUGCGUGGUGUAGCGGUGAAAUGCUUAGAUAUCACGAAGAACUCCGAUUGCGAAGGCAGUUCACUGAACUGCAACUGACACUGAGGCUCGAAAGUGUGGGUAUCAAACAGGAUUAGAUACCCUAGUAGUC
RNAcentral lists this ribosomal RNA (460 nucleotides) under uncultured bacterium. RNAcentral describes it as "partial 16S ribosomal RNA". It matches the Rfam family "Bacterial small subunit ribosomal RNA", at positions 338 to 795 of the family's 1533-position model. The record is from RNAcentral.